RNAcentral lists this long non-coding RNA (598 nucleotides) under Homo sapiens (human). RNAcentral describes it as "HSALNT0291732". The record is from RNAcentral. Lineage: Eukaryota; Metazoa; Chordata; Mammalia; Primates; Hominidae.
CUAAGAACAACAACAAAAAAUCCAGUAGAGCCCCAGGAGGAAAGGAAUUUGGCUUUUUAGCUGAGUAGUGAAAAGGCAAGCUGGCAAUUGCCCUUUGGCUCUGCCAGGGAAGGUCAGAGAAAGGCCUCCCCAGUGAUGGAGAGGGGAAGGAAGUGAGGGGGAGAAAAAACAGUGGAGAGAUAAACAAGCCUUGGCUGGAAGGAGGAGAGAGAAGCCCCCUCUGAAGGUUUCCCUAGGAUCACCAGCUGUCAUGGACUGAUUUGUGUCUCUCCAAAUUCAUAUGUUGAAUACUUAACCUGCCAUGCGAUUGUGAUUGGAGAUAAUUCCUUUAGGGAAGCAAUGAAGGUUAAAUGAGGUCAUAGGUGGGAGCUUAAUCCAAUGGGACUGGGGUCCCUACAAGAAGAGGAAGACACCAGAGCUCUCUGUCUCCACACACAGAGAAAAGAGGCUGUAUGAGGACACAAGAGAAGGUAAUAGCUGUCUACAAACCAAGAAGAGAAGCCUCUCCAGAAAAUGAACCCUGCUGGAACUUGGUCUUGGACUUUCCAGCCUCCAGAACUGGGAGAAAAUAAAGUUCAAAAUAAAGUUCUGUUGUGUA